GAGGGGAGUGAAAAAGAACCUGAAACCGUGUACGUACAAGCAGUGGGAGCCUCUUAAUGGGGUGACUGCGUACCUUUUGUAUAAUGGGUCAGCGACUUAUAUUCUGUAGCAAGGUUAACCGAAUAGGGGAGCCGAAGGGAAACCGAGUCUUAACUGGGCGUUAAGUUGCAGGGUAUAGACCCGAAACCCGGUGAUCUAGCCAUGGGCAGGUUGAAGGUUGGGUAACACUAACUGGAGGACCGAACCGACUAAUGUUGAAAAAUUAGCGGAUGACUUGUGGCUGGGGGUGAAAGGCCAAUCAAACCGGGAGAUAGCUGGUUCUCCCCGAAAGCUAUUUAGGUAGCGCCUCGUGAAUUCAUCUCCGGGGGUAGAGCACUGUUUCGGCAAGGGGGUCAUCCCGACUUACCAACCCGAUGCAAACUGCGAAUACCGGAGAAUGUUAUCACGGGAGACACACGGCGGGUGCUAACGUCCGUCGUGAAGAGGGAAACAACCCAGACCGCCAGCUAAGGUCCCAAAGUCAUGGUUAAGUGGGAAACGAUGUGGGAAGGCCCAGACAGCCAGGAUGUUGGCUUAGAAGCAGCCAUCAUUUAAAGAAAGCGUAAUAGCUCACUGGUCGAGUCGGCCUGCGCGGAAGAUGUAACGGGGCUAAACCAUGCACCGAAGCUGCGGCAGCGACACUAUGUGUUGUUGGGUAGGGGAGCG
This 705-nucleotide ribosomal RNA is filed under the name Escherichia coli. RNAcentral describes it as "partial 23S ribosomal RNA". It matches the Rfam family "Bacterial large subunit ribosomal RNA", at positions 531 to 1238 of the family's 2925-position model. Lineage: Bacteria; Pseudomonadati; Pseudomonadota; Gammaproteobacteria; Enterobacterales; Enterobacteriaceae. The record is from RNAcentral.